CACGCAGUAAACGAUGAUUACUCGCUGUUUGCGAUACACAGUAAGCGGCUUAGCGAAAGCGUUAAGUAAUCCACCUGGGGAGUACGUUCGCAAGAAUGAAACUCAAAGGAAUUGACGGGGGCCCGCACAAGCGGAGGAACAUGUGGUUUAAUUCGAUGAUACGCGAGGAACCUUACCCGGGCUUGAAAUGCAUCUGACCGGCAAAGAGAUUUGCUUUUUCCUCGGAACGGAUGCGUAGGUGC
This 242-nucleotide ribosomal RNA is filed under the name uncultured Porphyromonadaceae bacterium. RNAcentral describes it as "partial 16S ribosomal RNA". It matches the Rfam family "Bacterial small subunit ribosomal RNA", at positions 796 to 1041 of the family's 1533-position model. Lineage: Bacteria; Pseudomonadati; Bacteroidota; Bacteroidia; Bacteroidales; Porphyromonadaceae. The record is from RNAcentral.